RNAcentral lists this ribosomal RNA (674 nucleotides) under Salmonella enterica. Its description in RNAcentral is "bacterial SSU rRNA". It matches the Rfam family "Bacterial small subunit ribosomal RNA", at positions 869 to 1533 of the family's 1533-position model. RNAcentral also lists the same sequence under 1 other name. Lineage: Bacteria; Pseudomonadati; Pseudomonadota; Gammaproteobacteria; Enterobacterales; Enterobacteriaceae. The record is from RNAcentral.
CCGCCUGGGGAGUACGGCCGCAAGGUUAAAACUCAAAUGAAUUGACGGGGGCCCGCACAAGCGGUGGAGCAUGUGGUUUAAUUCGAUGCAACGCGAAGAACCUUACCUGGUCUUGACAUCCACAGAACUUUCCAGAGAUGGAUUGGUGCCUUCGGGAACUGUGAGACAGGUGCUGCAUGGCUGUCGUCAGCUCGUGUUGUGAAAUGUUGGGUUAAGUCCCGCAACGAGCGCAACCCUUAUCCUUUGUUGCCAGCGAUUAGGUCGGGAACUCAAAGGAGACUGCCAGUGAUAAACUGGAGGAAGGUGGGGAUGACGUCAAGUCAUCAUGGCCCUUACGACCAGGGCUACACACGUGCUACAAUGGCGCAUACAAAGAGAAGCGACCUCGCGAGAGCAAGCGGACCUCAUAAAGUGCGUCGUAGUCCGGAUUGGAGUCUGCAACUCGACUCCAUGAAGUCGGAAUCGCUAGUAAUCGUGGAUCAGAAUGCCACGGUGAAUACGUUCCCGGGCCUUGUACACACCGCCCGUCACACCAUGGGAGUGGGUUGCAAAAGAAGUAGGUAGCUUAACCUUCGGGAGGGCGCUUACCACUUUGUGAUUCAUGACUGGGGUGAAGUCGUAACAAGGUAACCGUAGGGGAACCUGCGGUUGGAUCACCUCCUUACCUUAAAGAA